This 634-nucleotide ribosomal RNA is filed under the name bacterium. RNAcentral's name for it is "bacterial SSU rRNA". It matches the Rfam family "Bacterial small subunit ribosomal RNA", at positions 56 to 668 of the family's 1533-position model. The record is from RNAcentral.
ACUGAUAUGACGUGCUUGCACUGAAUUGACGUUGGAUUACCAGUGAGCGGCGGACGGGUGAGUAACACGUGGGCAACCUGCCCUGAAGCGGGGGAUAACAUCUGGAAACAGGUGCUAAUACCGCAUAACAACGAAAACCACAUGGUUUUCGUUUCAAAGAUGGUUUCGGCUAUCACUUCAGGAUGGGCCCGCGGUGCAUUAGCUAGUUGGUAAGGUAACGGCUUACCAAGGCAAUGAUGCAUAGCCGAGUUGAGAGACUGAUCGGCCACAAUGGAACUGAGACACGGUCCAUACUCCUACGGGAGGCAGCAGUAGGGAAUCUUCCACAAUGGGCGCAAGCCUGAUGGAGCAACACCGCGUGAGUGAAGAAGGGUUUCGGCUCGUAAAGCUCUGUUGUUGGAGAAGAACGUGCGUGAGAGUAACUGUUCACGCAGUGACGGUAUCCAACCAGAAAGUCACGGCUAACUACGUGCCAGCAGCCGCGGUAAUACGUAGGUGGCAAGCGUUAUCCGGAUUUAUUGGGCGUAAAGCGAGCGCAGGCGGUUGCUUAGGUCUGAUGUGAAAGCCUUCAGCUUAACCGAAGAAGGACAUUGGAAACCGGGAGACUUGACUGCAUAAGAAGACCAGUGGUAAU